This 70-nucleotide non-coding RNA is filed under the name Pseudomonas luteola. RNAcentral's name for it is "sucC RNA". It matches the Rfam family "sucC RNA". Lineage: Bacteria; Pseudomonadati; Pseudomonadota; Gammaproteobacteria; Pseudomonadales; Pseudomonadaceae. The record is from RNAcentral.
GUUACAGGUGGCGCGGCGCCAGUGAGCGCAGCGCCGAAAAUGCGCAAUACCUAACGAAGACGGUAGAUAA